Molecule: ribosomal RNA, 446 nt
Filed under: uncultured bacterium
Lineage: Bacteria
Description: partial 16S ribosomal RNA
Rfam family: Bacterial small subunit ribosomal RNA
Source: RNAcentral
GUAGGGAAUAUUGGACAAUGGGGGGAACCCUGAUCCAGCCAUGCCGCGUGGAGGAAGACUGCCCUCUGGGUUGUAAACUCCUUUUAUAUGGGAAGAACCGUCCUCAUUAAUGAGUGACCUGACGGUACCAUAGGAAUAAGCACCGGCUAACUCCGUGCCAGCAGCCGCGGUAAUACGGAGGGUGCAAGCGUUAUCCGGAUUCACUGGGUUUAAAGGGUGCGUAGGCGGAUAAAUAAGUCAGUGGUGAAAUCAACGGGCUCAACCUGUUAACUGCCAUUGAUACUGUGUAUCUUGAAUAUGAGAGAGGUAGGCGGAAUGUUGCAUGUAGCGGUGAAAUGCUUAGAUAUGCUACGGAACACCGAUUGCGAAGGCAGCUUACUAUUUCGUAAUUGACGCUGAGGCACGAAAGCAUGGGGAGCAAACAGGAUUAGAUACCCCUGUAGUCC